CACGUCAUCUUUGGGCGACUCCACGCCUCCCGCAUUUUACCUGGACUGGAGGUUGACCACGGUGAUCUUCCUGCCCGGGUUUCCCAGCCCAAGCCACCACCCCAGCCAUUGUCCUCAACUCAUUUUAAAUAUCACCGGAGAAGAUACGUUAAACAGAUCUGGCACAUUUACAGAUUUCUGUCAUACGAUUGUCUUGACGCUGGCCUAAUGAAGCGCUACUUUUGACCUGGUGACUCUGAUCCUGAUGAGAUUAAUGACAAGGUCGUUGGAAGAACAUUUCAAACAACUCUCAUGUUCAGAGUACUUAGAAGUAACCCAGUUUUCCAGGGAUAUGUUCCUUUUCUUCUAUAGAAGUAUUAAAAU
Long non-coding RNA from Nannospalax galili (Upper Galilee mountains blind mole rat), 363 nucleotides. RefSeq lists it as uncharacterized. The record is from RefSeq and is a predicted model, not a curated record. NCBI's taxonomy places the organism in Eukaryota, Metazoa, Chordata, Mammalia, Rodentia, Spalacidae. The transcript has 3 exons.